This 531-nucleotide ribosomal RNA is filed under the name Triticum aestivum (bread wheat). RNAcentral's name for it is "partial small subunit ribosomal RNA". Lineage: Eukaryota; Viridiplantae; Streptophyta; Magnoliopsida; Poales; Poaceae. The record is from RNAcentral.
AUGAGUUUUAUAUUUGAUGACCAUAGUGUGACGAAUGCAUAUGCAGGGGUCGCAACUCCCUCGUCUCAAGUUGAUGCCUCUCAAAUUAACAUUGAAGAGGAUAAUGAGGACGGCUCGGGAUGUGAGUUAGAUGUUAACCAAGUUACACCCACCAAUGUUUCAUCUAAAGGUCGAAAGAAGAGAUCAUGUCCUUAUUCACCGAGUCCCAAGAUGGUCCAAAAGGCGGCAAAAGAUAGUGAUGAUAAAAUGGUAUUUAACCGUAUGGUUGACCUUUGGGAGAGGAGGGAGAUUAGUCGCAAUUCGGCGACGUCUCAAACAAAUGUGGAUCAUGUGAGAGAUGAGAUAAAAGAGAUGACGACCAUGGUGGUGAACGAUGGAGGCCGGCCUGGAAGUGAUGUGUAUUUCUAUGCUCUACAGCUGUUUAUGAAGAAGGAACAUCGUGAUGUAUUCAGUGCCCUCAAGGAUGAGACUGCUAGUGUGAGGCUUGAAUGGAUCAAGAGGACAUGGGAUCUCUUUAUGAAAAAAGAUUAG